AAUCAAAGUGGAAGUUGUAUCUCUUUAAUGGAAGCUUGAAGGAAUCAUUUUUGCUAUAAUAAUGCACUUUUUCAGUACAAUUUUCAAUAUCUCCAAUUUGUAUUUAAUAAAAUAUUUGGUAAAUGUGAAGAGGGUCAUUCGUUAAAAAUAUAAUUACAUUUGUAUAGCCUGACCUGUUUUAAAAUGUACUGCUGGAGAAACCUCUAGAGGGGGCCUCUGAACCUUUGAGCCUCAAAGUCUAAUUCUGGUUAAACACUUCUCUCAUUGUUAUAAGAAGCUCUGGGGAGAAUAUAACGUUUAUUUCAUAUGUGAAACAUACACUCCGUUAUAGCUCCGUGAUCUGUAUUCAGUUUCACUGACACACCCGCUGGGCUGGUCAAGGAGAAAAAGGACUGGGUACUUGGUGUUACCAGGGCAACAGCUAACAGGAAAGGACAGAUGGUUCUCAGCCCAGCUAAUGGCUUCUGGGAAUCGGGAUCUCCGAUGGCAAAGACUUUACAGCAUUCAUGGAUAAUGAUGAUGAUGAUGAUGAUGAUGUCCAUAAAGAAAGAAUUCCACACCGAGUGGGUAUCUAUGUGGAUUAUCAGGAAGGGAAGGUGACUUUCUACAAUGCAGAAGAUAAUUCACUCAUCUAUUCAUUCACCAACGGACCAAGUUAUGAGGAUGAUGUCCGCCCACUUUUCUCACCCUGGAACAACGAUGCAGAUCCGAUCACAAUUUUGUCCAUUGAAACAACUAAACAAUCUAAAUCAUCUGAAGCAUUAAGGAUCACCUCUACAUCAAUCAAUAGGUUACUUUAUUGUCUUGGAGAGCUAAACUUGACCACCAUUAGUCAAUCACUAAUGAUUGUCACUUCAGAAAUAUUUACACAUUUGCUUGAAGUUGUUUAAAUUGUAUGAUACUUUUUUGCUUAUUAUAGAAAUGUUGCUUUCUCACAUUGACUUUAUAUUUGUUGUAUUUGACUUGAAUAAAAUUGAACUGCUAUUUCAGUUGUUUUUCUCAAACCACGAGGAUAUUGUCAGAGAAAUCAUGCAUAGUGAAUAGGUAAUGUUAUGCCUCCUUUCAUACACAUCUACUGUACACUGUAUUGAUUUGUUAAAAAUGUAAUAUUGCUUUUAAGACUUGAUGUGUAUCAGUUUAUUCCUUGUGAUCAUGAGGAUCAAUCAGUUUAUGCCAGCUCUUACAUAACAAUGUAUAGAUUGGGUAGGUUUGUAAUCAGCCAUUGGUAAGCACAACUCUGCAUCAGAGGCCUUUACAAUGUCAAGACUGCUAUUCUGGGACCUCAUUAAUAAAAUGUUUGUACGCACAGA
Molecule: long non-coding RNA, 1310 nt
Organism: Oncorhynchus kisutch (coho salmon)
Lineage: Eukaryota; Metazoa; Chordata; Actinopteri; Salmoniformes; Salmonidae
Exons: 2
Source: RefSeq, a predicted model, not a curated record